RNAcentral lists this ribosomal RNA (522 nucleotides) under uncultured bacterium. RNAcentral's name for it is "bacterial SSU rRNA". It matches the Rfam family "Bacterial small subunit ribosomal RNA", at positions 988 to 1509 of the family's 1533-position model. The record is from RNAcentral.
CCAGAGAACUUAGCAGAGAUGCUUUGGUGCCUUCGGGAACUCUGAGACAGGUGCUGCAUGGCUGUCGUCAGCUCGUGUUGUGAAAUGUUGGGUUAAGUCCCGCAACGAGCGCAACCCUUAUCCCUUUGUUGCCAGCGGCUCGGCCGGGAACUCAAAGGAGACUGCCGGUGAUAAACCGGAGGAAGGUGGGGAUGACGUCAAGUCAUCAUGGCCCUUACGGCCAGGGCUACACACGUGCUACAAUGGCGCAUACAAAGAGAAGCGACCUCGCGAGAGCAAGCGGACCUCAUAAAGUGCGUCGUAGUCCGGAUUGGAGUCUGCAACUCGACUCCAUGAAGUCGGAAUCGCUAGUAAUCGUAGAUCAGAAUGCUACGGUGAAUACGUUCCCGGGCCUUGUACACACCGCCCGUCACACCAUGGGAGUGGGUUGCAAAAGAAGUAGGUAGCUUAACCUUCGGGAGGGCGCUUACCACUUUGUGAUUCAUGACUGGGGUGAAGUCGUAACAAGGUAGGCGUAGCGAG